GCGGGAGUGCCGGAGCGGCCAAACGGGCAAGCUUGAGGUGCUUGUGGCUUAGUGCCUGCACAGGUUCGAUUCCUGUCUCCCGCA
Molecule: transfer RNA, 84 nt
Filed under: Candidatus Pacearchaeota archaeon
Lineage: Archaea; Nanobdellati
Description: tRNA-Leu
Rfam family: tRNA
About the family: Transfer RNA (tRNA) molecules are approximately 80 nucleotides in length. Their secondary structure includes four short double-helical elements and three loops (D, anti-codon, and T loops).
Source: RNAcentral